GUGACAUUUGUUGUUUAUAGAUUUUUCGCCCACAGCAGAUGUCUAGACCCUGGACACAUAACAGAAGAAGGAGAGAGGGACCCUAAGAGGGACCCUAGGAGGGACGUAAAGGAGAGAAAAAUCCUGUUAAGACAGACAAUCAGAUGGUAUGGCCUCUGAGGACCCCCAUGACCAACUGGACGAGGCCAUUAACGAGGCAAAAGGGCUGGCUGAGGAGCUCAACCCAGAACCAGUAAUGUAACAAGUCGUACAUUACCGCUCCAAGGGCCAGUACAUCAAGAGACAGACUAGUGCAACAUUUUGGGCCAGUCACUGAGGAGGAAGAAUCAGG
Long non-coding RNA from Oncorhynchus tshawytscha (Chinook salmon), 331 nucleotides. RefSeq lists it as uncharacterized. The record is from RefSeq and is a predicted model, not a curated record. The transcript is spliced from 4 exons. Lineage: Eukaryota; Metazoa; Chordata; Actinopteri; Salmoniformes; Salmonidae.